RNAcentral lists this transfer RNA (77 nucleotides) under Zetaproteobacteria bacterium CG1_02_55_237. RNAcentral describes it as "tRNA-Arg". It matches the Rfam family "tRNA". Rfam says of the family: Transfer RNA (tRNA) molecules are approximately 80 nucleotides in length. Their secondary structure includes four short double-helical elements and three loops (D, anti-codon, and T loops). Further hydrogen bonds mediate the characteristic L-shaped molecular structure. tRNAs have two regions of fundamental functional importance: the anti-codon, which is responsible for specific mRNA codon recognition, and the 3' end, to which the tRNAs corresponding amino acid is attached (by aminoacyl-tRNA synthetases). tRNAs cope with the degeneracy of the genetic code in two manners: having more than one tRNA (with a specific anti-codon) for a particular amino acid; and 'wobble' base-pairing, i.e. permitting non-standard base-pairing at the 3rd anti-codon position. The record is from RNAcentral. Lineage: Bacteria; Pseudomonadati; Pseudomonadota; Candidatius Mariprofundia. RNAcentral also lists the same sequence under 6 other names.
GCGCCCGUAGCUCAGCUGGAUAGAGUAUCAGGCUUCGAACCUGAGUGCCGGGGGUUCGAAUCCCUCCGGGCGCGCCA